AACGCGAAGAACCUUACCAAGGUUUGACAUGCAGGGAAAAGCCGUAGAGAUACGGUGUCCGUAAGGGUCCUGCACAGGUGGUGCAUGGCUGUCGUCAGCUCGUGUCGUGAGAUGUUGGGUUAAGUCCCGCAACGAGCGCAACCCUCGUCCUAUGUUGCCAGCGGGUAAUGCCGGGGACUCAUAGGAGACUGCCGGGGUCAACUCGGAGGAAGGUGGGGAUGACGUCAAGUCAUCAUGCCCCUUAAGUCUUGGGCUGCAAACAUGCUACAAUGGCCGGUACAGAGGGCUGCGAGACCGCAAGGUGGAGCGAAUCUCAAAAAGCCGGUCUCAGUUCGGAUUGGGGUCUGCAACUCGACCCCAUGAAGUCGGAGUCGCUAGUAAUCGCGAAUCAGCAACGUCGCGGUGAAUACGUUCCCGGGCCUUGUACACACCGCAUAC
This 438-nucleotide ribosomal RNA is filed under the name uncultured bacterium. RNAcentral's name for it is "bacterial SSU rRNA". It matches the Rfam family "Bacterial small subunit ribosomal RNA", at positions 958 to 1397 of the family's 1533-position model. The record is from RNAcentral.